This 500-nucleotide ribosomal RNA is filed under the name uncultured bacterium. RNAcentral's name for it is "partial 16S ribosomal RNA". It matches the Rfam family "Bacterial small subunit ribosomal RNA", at positions 30 to 523 of the family's 1533-position model. The record is from RNAcentral.
AUUGAACGCUGGCGGAAUGCUUUACACAUGCAAGUCGAACGGCAGCGCGGACUUCGGUCUGGUGGCGAGUGGCGAACGGGUGAGUAAUACAUCGGAACGUGCCCAGUCGUGGGGGAUAACGUAGCGAAAGCUACGCUAAUACCGCAUACGAUCUAAGGAUGAAAGCGGGGGAUCGCAAGACCUCGCGCGAUUGGAGCGGCCGAUGGCAGAUUAGGUAGUUGGUGGGGUAAAGGCUCACCAAGCCGACGAUCUGUAGCUGGUCUGAGAGGACGACCGGCCACACUGGGACUGAGACACGGCCCAGACUCCUACGGGAGGCAGCAGUGGGGAAUUUUGGACAAUGGGCGCAAGCCUGAUCCAGCCAUUCCGCGUGCAGGAUGAAGGCCCUCGGGUUGUAAACUGCUUUUGUACGGAACGAAAAGGCUCUGGUUAAUACCUGGGGCUCAUGACGGUACCGUAAGAAUAAGCACCGGCUAACUACGUGCCAGCCGCCGCGGUAA